Long non-coding RNA from Balaenoptera musculus (blue whale), 1075 nucleotides. RefSeq lists it as uncharacterized. The record is from RefSeq and is a predicted model, not a curated record. Lineage: Eukaryota; Metazoa; Chordata; Mammalia; Artiodactyla; Balaenopteridae. The transcript is spliced from 7 exons.
GUAGGGGCCCGAGAAACCCUGUGAGCCGCCGCACUCACUUCCUCAGGGCCCCCUCAGGGAGGGGAUGAUGACAGCAGAGUCACUGUGGGGUUUUAAGGAUUAGUGAGGACCUAGCACUCACGGUAAUGCAUAUCACCUCCCCGGUAAAAUCGUUUUGAGUGGAGGCCAACUUCACCCACCAUGCUGGUCUUCUCCGCCACAAACCCCCUGGAAGCCCUGCUCCACCCAUCCUGGCUCCCCCGCCCACCAGGCAACAAGCAGUUCCUAAAUUCCUACGUGCCGGGUGCUGGACAAGGAGCAGGGACCCGGCAGUGAUGACAGACCCUGUACCCAGACCCUCCUCUCUGGCAGCGCAUGCAGCCCAGCCAGGCCCACACCCCCAGAGAUGGCCUGCACAGCACACUGCCACAUGUGGUCUCAGGUGGGGCUCUGAGCGAGCGCAAGGUCGGGGCACAGGUGGCCGCUGUGUGUCCCUCCCAGCACAUCCUGCACACCAUCUCCAGGCCCUGGUAGAUCCCCAGCCAUCCAUCACCACCACCAUGCCCAGGAGCCCGGCUGAGGAGCCCGGAUGGGGAGGGCGGCAGCAGUCCCAGCUUGAACCUGGCCACCACUCGUCCCAGGGACAACACAGCUUCCUCUCUGGACUCCAGGCUCCAGUCCAUCCACUGCACGAUUGCCAGGAGGCUCCAGCUAACUCUCAGUGUCCUGGUCCGAGAUGCCAUGCUGCUGGGCCUGCUCGUCCAGCAGGUCAAAGAAGUACUUCACAGCGAGCGGCACGGGACAGCUGGUGCUGAGAAUCACCUGGAACAGGGUGUUCAGGCGCCUCCACAGACCCUGGACCUCAGAAGUCACGUCCUCGUCGGAAAGAAUGAGAUGCCCGGCCACCCCAGACCGCCAUUCUGCAAGGACAAGAGCUCAAGGAUAUUUGCAGAAUGAGGAAGCGGCCCUCACAGGUGACAAGGCUGGUCUCCAACUACCACUCGGAUGUCCUCCAGCCGCCCGGUCAGAAGCUUGGAGCCGUGCAGGGGAACAUGGGUUCAAGCCCUGGUCCGGGAAGAUCCCACAUGCCGCAGAG